GACGAACGCUGGCGGCGUGCUUAACACAUGCAAGUCGAACGCUGAAGCUUGGUACUUGCACUGGGUGGAUGAGUGGCGAACGGGUGAGUAAUACGUGAGUAACCUGCCCUUGACUCUGGGAUAAGCCUGGGAAACUGGGUCUAAUACUGGAUACGACAUGCCACUGCAUGGUGGUGUGUGGAAAGGGUUUUACUGGUUUUGGAUGGGCUCACGGCCUAUCAGCUUGUUGGUGGGGUAAUGGCCUACCAAGGCGACGACGGGUAGCCGGCCUGAGAGGGUGACCGGCCACACUGGGACUGAGACACGGCCCAGACUCCUACGGGAGGCAGCAGUGGGGAAUAUUGCACAAUGGGCGGAAGCCUGAUGCAGCGACGCCGCGUGAGGGAUGACGGCCUUCGGGUUGUAAACCUCUUUCAGCACGGAAGAAGCGAGAGUGACGGUACGUGCAGAAGAAGCGCCGGCUAACUACGUG
This 472-nucleotide ribosomal RNA is filed under the name uncultured bacterium. RNAcentral describes it as "partial 16S ribosomal RNA". It matches the Rfam family "Bacterial small subunit ribosomal RNA", at positions 28 to 507 of the family's 1533-position model. The record is from RNAcentral.